AUACUCAUUAUGAAGAAAUCAGUAAGCUUAUAUGCAGAGGUUCUCUGCUUUCUUCAUAUUAAAGAUCCAAGAUAUACUGCAAAUAAAGUGUAAAUCGUAGGGAA
Molecule: long non-coding RNA, 104 nt
Organism: Pantherophis guttatus
Lineage: Eukaryota; Metazoa; Chordata; Lepidosauria; Squamata; Colubridae
Source: RefSeq, a predicted model, not a curated record